AGAAGACUGUGAUGUAUCUAAUACCCCCCUCCUUUUAUUCUCAUUUUCUUUAAGUAAACAAGGCCUACUCUAAUGAAUCAUUCUCAUUCCCUUUUGAAUAAACAAUCAAGUGUUGGUGCUGAUCAUGCAAGAGUCAUGAAAUAAUCAACAUAUAGUCUGCUAAUUAAUCGAGGGUGUCGGAGGUUUGAUCAACUUACUGUUAAGAGUGCGUGGAAAGAUUUGUGUUUUGGGCAUCCCAGAGUAUCUUGAUUGAGUUUUAACUGACUUGGGGAAAUAUUCCUCGCCUUUUCUUUUGUGCUUGGUUGGUUGUGCAGGAUGGACUGAGGACAAGGUAUUGGUUGUGUUAGAAUGGUAGAUGAAACUUGAGUGAGUAUUAUUAUAUUUGGGGAGUCUAAGCCUACGGAUCAUUUAUUCUUUGAGUGUGCUUUUGGACGUCAGGUGUGAGAUGCAAUUAUGAGUUCAACGGACUCUUCUAGUGGAAAGGGUUAUUGGACGAGGUUGAGUUGCAAUAGGCUUGUGUGGUUGGGUUUGGAUGUGAGAUGCACGCUCGAGCUCUAUGAAGCCUCCAAAAAAGGAAGGGUUUGCGGCGCUAAAAGAUGAGGAGUUUUAUCUCAAUUUUUGUACAUGAACUUAAAUAAUUUUAUCAACAUAUUAUGUUUUAUUUAUGUACACUUAUGAAAGUUGAUGAAAUUGAUACAUUCAUGAAAGCUCAAACUUUAAAUUGAUACACUUAUAAAA
Cucumis sativus (cucumber) is the source of this 738-nucleotide long non-coding RNA. RefSeq lists it as uncharacterized. Lineage: Eukaryota; Viridiplantae; Streptophyta; Magnoliopsida; Cucurbitales; Cucurbitaceae. The transcript is spliced from 2 exons. The record is from RefSeq and is a predicted model, not a curated record.